This 582-nucleotide ribosomal RNA is filed under the name uncultured Gammaproteobacteria bacterium. Its description in RNAcentral is "bacterial SSU rRNA". It matches the Rfam family "Bacterial small subunit ribosomal RNA", at positions 346 to 920 of the family's 1533-position model. Lineage: Bacteria; Pseudomonadati; Pseudomonadota; Gammaproteobacteria. The record is from RNAcentral.
AGGCAGCAGUGGGGAAUAUUGGACAAUGGGGGCAACCCUGAUCCAGCCAUGCCGCGUGUGUGAAGAAGCCUUCGGGUUGUAAAGCACUUUAAGCGAGGAGGAAGGUCUUUGAACUAAUAUUUCAAAGAAUUGACGUUACUCGCAGAAUAAGCACCGGCUAACUCUGUGCCAGCAGCCGCGGUAAUACAGAGGGUGCAAGCGUUAAUCGGAAUUACUGGGCGUAAAGCGCGCGUAGGCGGUAUGUUAAGUCGGAUGUGAAAUCCCCUGGGCUCAACCUAGGCAUUGCAUCCGAUACUGGCACACUAGAGUGUGGGAGAGGAAGGUAGAAUUCCAGGUGUAGCGGUGAAAUGCGUAGAGAUCUGGAGGAAUACCGAUGGCGAAGGCAGCCUUCUGGCCUAACACUGACGCUGAGGUGCGAAAGCAUGGGGAGCAAACAGGAUUAGAUACCCUGGUAGUCCAUGCCGUAAACGAUGUCAACUAGCCGUUGGGCUCCUUGAGGGCUUAGUGGCGCAGCUAACGCGAUAAGUUGACCGCCUGGGGAGUACGGUCGCAAGACUAAAACUCAAAUGAAUUGACGGGGGC